GGCAACAGCUCAAAUUUGAAAUCUGGCGCAAGCCCGAGUUGUAAUUUGUAGAGGAUGCUUCAGGGCAGCGGCCGGUCUAAGUUCCUUGGAACAGGACGUCAUAGAGGGUGAGAAUCCCGUAUGCGACCGGUUGGCACCCGUCACGUAGCUCCUUCGACGAGUCGAGUUGUUUGGGAAUGCAGCUCUAAAUGGGAGGUAAAUUUCUUCUAAAGCUAAAUAUUGGCCAGAGACCGAUAGCGCACAAGUAGAGUGAUCGAAAGAUGAAAAGCACUUUGGAAAGAGAGUUAAAAAGCACGUGAAAUUGUUGAAAGGGAAGCGCAUGCAAUCAGACUUGUCGGCGGUGUUCCGCCGGUCUUUUGACCGGUCUACUCGCCGCCGGCAGGCCAGCAUCAUCUGGGCGCGCCGGACAAAGGCGCGGGGAAUGUAGCUCCUCGGAGUGUUAUAGCCCCGCGCACAAUACGGCGCCGCCCGGGUGAGGUCCGCGCUUCGGCUAGGAUGCUGGCGUAAUGGUUGUAUGCGGCCCGUCUUGAAACACGGACCAAGGAGUCUAACAUCUAUGCGAGUGUUCGGGUGUCAAACCCCUACGCGGAAUGAAAGUGAACGGAGGUGGGAAGCGCAAGCUGCACCAUCGACCGAUCCUGAUGUCUUCGGAUGGAUUUGAGUAAGAGCAUAGCUGUUGGGACCCGAAAGAUGGUGAACUAUGCCUGAAUAGGGUGAAGCCAGAGGAAACUCUGGUGGAGGCUCGCAGCGGUUCUGACGUGCAAAUCGAUCGUCGAAUU
RNAcentral lists this ribosomal RNA (779 nucleotides) under Teratosphaeria dunnii. Its description in RNAcentral is "partial 28S ribosomal RNA". It matches the Rfam family "Eukaryotic large subunit ribosomal RNA", at positions 100 to 911 of the family's 3401-position model. The record is from RNAcentral. Lineage: Eukaryota; Fungi; Ascomycota; Dothideomycetes; Mycosphaerellales; Teratosphaeriaceae.